RNAcentral lists this unclassified non-coding RNA (753 nucleotides) under Hevea brasiliensis (rubber tree). Lineage: Eukaryota; Viridiplantae; Streptophyta; Magnoliopsida; Malpighiales; Euphorbiaceae. The record is from RNAcentral.
AUGCCCUCUAACCCCCUUGGAGGUAACCCAUAUAUCCACAUCUUCUCCUGCUUUUUGGACCUUUGGCAUUUUGAUUUGAGCUCAUUUUGUAACAGCUUUGUCUAGGACUUCCCUUAUCAUUUAAUCAGUUGUUAUUGUGCUUUGCUGAGAACCUUAACAGAAAUUUCUCUGGUCUUCAACUUUUUCUUGUAGCAUUAGUGAUUUAUUUCAACAUGCUGCAAAGAAUAUAAUGGCCUGUGGCUUGGCGGCCAACUCAAAUAGUUACUUUUAUGUUUUGAUUUUACAGAUUAUUGCUUGGGGUGGGCUUUUUCUUUUUUCCUUAGAAUACUUUUCCAGUUUCACUGUUUCAAAAUGUUAAGAGUUUGGUUUUUUGACCCAUGCUUUACACGUGUAGUAUCAUUGUAGCCAUAAAAAUAGUGACUUGGGGGCCUUUCUAAGCUAAUAGCUUAUUAACUCAACUUCAUUUGGAUUCUACUGUUUGAUUUUUGAUAAAUCAUUCUUUACCAUAUAAAAACUGAAAGAAGAUAUUUUAACAUCAUAUUAUGAUGCACAAAUUGAAAGAGAAAUGAUUUUGAUGCCAUGUUAUCAACAUAUCAUGCCUGCUAUGCUGCAUUUGGAUGAAUGAUAUUCUGUUGUGAUCUGGUUUAUUUUAUAUUCUUUUUUUAUUACACCUUGUUGAUUUUAAUUCAUGCUGAUCUAAUUUGGCAAAAAAUAACUCUUUUUGUGGCUUGAUAUUUUUACUGUCAGCAUAGG